This is a long non-coding RNA of Cornus florida, 1434 nucleotides long. RefSeq lists it as uncharacterized. NCBI's taxonomy places the organism in Eukaryota, Viridiplantae, Streptophyta, Magnoliopsida, Cornales, Cornaceae. The transcript is spliced from 3 exons. The record is from RefSeq and is a predicted model, not a curated record.
CUCAAAACCGCAAAUCCAGCAUGCUUCAAUGAGUACUAUUGACAUAUAUCAUGAUGCAAUACCCUUUACAAAUGUAUUUAUGCUUUUUGUGGAAUGUGUGGUUUUGGAGUUUGGAGGGACAGCCAGUGGAAGCUCCAUUUGCAGUAGCAUGAUCAAUUUGGAAGGAACGUAACUCUGAGUUUUUUUUUUAAUGCGCAUGGUCUCUAAAUGGUGCUCCAUGGGGGUACUUGGGUUGAUUUUCUCAUAGCUUUCAACUUUACUUCACAAAUUUGCUUUGGGGGGCUUUUUUCAUUGUAGUUCCAUUAUCUGUUGCUUUGUAAGUGCUACUUGUGCAUCAAUAUACUGAAUCUAUGUCAUUUCUACAUCAUGGAUUCUCCAAAUUAGACUGAAUCUAUGUCAUUUUGAGUCUUCUCUAUGUUUUUUGCAGUAUAUUUUCUGGACCCUUGUUCUAAAUUGACCAUUUGCAAUAUUUAGUCGUGGAUUUAUUGCAGGUACAAGCCAGAUGUAAUAAAGGGAGACAUGGAUUCAAUUAGACAAGAAGUAAAAGAUUUCUAUAAAAACAAGAAGACCGAGAUAGAAGAUGCAUCUAAUGAUUAGGACACCACAGACCUCCACAAAUGCAUAGCAUAUAUUCGUGACUGCACACCAAACCUGGACAAGUCUAAUGUAAGUUUCAUAUGAUCUUUCACAAGUCUAAUGUAAGUUUCAUAUGAUCUUUCAGUUUCUCUUUUUGCAAGAAUUGCUUUGUUUCAUGUUAGCUUGAACUUUAUUCUGAUCUGUUAAGGUGGUAAUAUGAAUAUUGCAACCGGCCAAUUCGUUCAUUUUAUCGAUUCUGUCAAUAAGUUUGAUUAGAAGCUGGAAAGCGAAAAACUUUUUUUUUUUUUCUUUCUAGAAACUUCUUUUUGUCUGAAUUUGUCACUGGUGUGAGUGCUCAUAUUGGCACUUUUAGGUGAUUCAUAGUCUUGUUUUAAUUGAAGUCAUGCAUUCUAGUUGUUGGAGCACUUGGUGGACGGUUUGACCAGGAGGCUGGAAACAUAAAUGUUCUUUAUCGUUUCUCGGCCAUGAAAAUAUUUCUUUUAUCCAAUGAUUGCCUCAUCCAACUUCUUCCAAAGACUCAAUCAUUGUGGACUUUUCCCGAUUGGGAUGCCGUUUAGAAGCACUACCACCUCCGGGCUCGAAUGGAAUCUUGCUGGCACGGAAUUGAGAUUUGGUGGUUUAAUAAGUACAUCGAAUAUUGUGAAAGGAAAGAAAAUAACUGAUUCUGAUCUUCUUUGGACAAUAUCCAUCCAUUAUUCAUGAUGAGGUGUGCGAGUUGCAGAUUCCAUGAUUUCUUCCAACUUGUAAUCCCCACUAAUUAGAAUAAUUGAGGGGAACGUCUGUAGGUACUUCUUUAUGUUUUGUAAUCCAAUAUUAAAUUUAAAUGCAUUCUGAAAA